GACGAACGCUGGCGGCGUGCUUAACACAUGCAAGUCGAACGGAAAGGCCCUGCUUUUGUGGGGUGCUCGAGUGGCGAACGGGUGAGUAACACGUGAGUAACCUGCCCUUGACUUUGGUAUAACUUCAGGAAACUGAGGCUAAUACCGGAUAGGAGCUCCUGCUGCAUGGUGGGGGUUGGAAAGUUUCGGCGGUUGGGGAUGGACUCGCGGCUUAUCAGCUUGUUGGUGGGGUAGUGGCUUACCAAGGCUUUGACGGGUAGCCGGCCUGAGAGGGUGACCGGCCACAUUGGGACUGAGAUACGGCCCAGACUCCUACGGGAGGCAGCAGUGGGGAAUAUUGCACAAUGGGCGGAAGCCUGAUGCAGCAACGCCGCGUGCGGGAUGACGGCCUUCGGGUUGUAAACCGCUUUCGCCUGUGACGAAGCGUGAGUGACGGUAAUGGGUAAAGAAGCACCGGCUAACUACGUG
This 468-nucleotide ribosomal RNA is filed under the name uncultured bacterium. Its description in RNAcentral is "partial 16S ribosomal RNA". It matches the Rfam family "Bacterial small subunit ribosomal RNA", at positions 28 to 507 of the family's 1533-position model. The record is from RNAcentral.